UGGCUUAACACAUGCAAGUCGAACGGUGAAGCAGAGCUUGCUCUGUGUGAUCACUGGCGAACGGGUGAGUAACACGUGAGCAACCUGCCCCUGGACUCUGGGAUAAGCGCUGGAAACGGCGUCUAAUACUGGAUAUGUGACGUGGCCGCAUGGUCUGCGUCUGGAAAGAAUUUCGGUUGGGGAUGGGCUCGCGGCCUAUCAGCUUGUUGGUGAGGUAAUGGCUCACCAAGGCGUCGACUGGUAGCCGGCCUGAGAGGGUGACCGGCCACACUGGGACUGAGACACGGCCCACACUCCUACGGGAGGCAGCAGUGGGGAAUAUUGCACAAUGGGCGCAAGCCUGAUGCAUCAACGCCUCGUGAGGGAUGACGGCCUUCGGGUUGUAAACCUCUUUUAGCAGGGAAGAAGCGAAAGUGACGGUACCUGCAGAAAAAGCGCCGGCUAACUACGUGCCAGCAAGCCGCGGUAAUACG
Molecule: ribosomal RNA, 473 nt
Filed under: marine sediment bacterium ISA-7141
Lineage: Bacteria
Description: bacterial SSU rRNA
Rfam family: Bacterial small subunit ribosomal RNA
Source: RNAcentral